UUGUGACGUUAACCAAGUAUAUUAAAUAUAUAUAUGUAUACUAAAAGAAUUAUGUCCUAUAAUCAAAAUUUUAAUGUCCGGUACAUCCAACAAAAGUCCAACAAAAUUUAAUUUAUACUUCUUGGGUUCUAAGAAAAUAGGGUACUUCAACGCGGACAGCCACGAACUUGAACCGAUUAUACCUGCACCAAAUUAGAUACUCAAAUAAUUAAAUAAAUAAAUAAAUAAAAUAAUAAAAUACAAAAAGGCAGAUCUUGAGAGGAUAAUUGUUAUCAACAGCAUUUAUUGCUGCAUUAAUGGAUUGCAGAUAGAAAUCAUCAUCCUCUGACAGAAUAUUUGAAAAAUACACGCCACUUGCGUCUCAUUCUUGAGAGAUACGACACUUGCAUCUCAUUCUUGCAAGAUACACCACUUGCAUCUUUUAUGUAUAUGUAUGUAUAUACAAAUCUUUUUGUCUCACCCACCUCACAAUCAAACUUUCCAAAAAGAAUUCCACAUAGAACACAGGAGGGAGAGUUGCAGAGUUGCAGGUAAUUGUAGAGUCAAGCACUACAAUCCAACAAAACUUUAUUCCACCUCAAAAGGAUGAACUUUGCACCUCGUUUGUGGUUGAAGCAGAAGGUGAUUGAGGAGUUAAGCAUUUGAGGUUGAGCAGCGAAGUGGUGGAGGAAGUGCUAUUGAGACAAGACA
Molecule: long non-coding RNA, 690 nt
Organism: Salvia splendens (bonfire salvia)
Lineage: Eukaryota; Viridiplantae; Streptophyta; Magnoliopsida; Lamiales; Lamiaceae
Exons: 3
Source: RefSeq, a predicted model, not a curated record